This 843-nucleotide ribosomal RNA is filed under the name uncultured bacterium. Its description in RNAcentral is "bacterial SSU rRNA". It matches the Rfam family "Bacterial small subunit ribosomal RNA", at positions 8 to 896 of the family's 1533-position model. The record is from RNAcentral.
AGAGUUUGAUCCUGGCUCAGAACGAACGCUGGCGGCAGGCUUAACACAUGCAAGUCGAACGGACGUAGCAAUACGUCAGUGGCAGACGGGUGAGUAACACGUGGGAACCUUCCUAGGGGUACGGAACAACUCAGGGAAACUUGAGCUAAUACCGUAUACGUCCGUGAGGAGAAAGAUUUAUCGCCCUUAGACGGGCCCGCGUCGGAUUAGGUAGUUGGUGGGGUAACGGCCUACCAAGCCUACGAUCCGUAGCUGAUCUUAGAGGAUGAUCAGCCACACUGGGACUGAGACACGGCCCAGACUCCUACGGGAGGCAGCAGUGGGGAAUCUUGGACAAUGGGCGCAAGCCUGAUCCAGCCAUGCCGCGUGAGUGAAGAAGGCCUUAGGGUUGUAAAGCUCUUUUACCAGGGACGAUAAUGACGGUACCUGGAGAAUAAGCCCCGGCAAACUUCGUGCCAGCAGCCGCGGUAAUACGAAGGGGGCUAGCGUUGUUCGGAAUUACUGGGCGUAAAGCGCACGUAGGCGGGUCGUUAAGUCAGGGGUGAAAUCCCGGAGCUCAACUCCGGAACUGCCUUUGAUACUGGCGAUCUAGAGAUCGAGAGAGGUGAGUGGAAUUCCGAGUGUAGAGGUGAAAUUCGUAGAUAUUCGGAAGAACACCAGUGGCGAAGGCGGCUCACUGGCUCGAUACUGACGCUGAGGUGCGAAAGCGUGAGGAGCAAACAGGAUUANAUACCCUGGUAGUCCACGCCGUAACCUAUGGAUGCUAGCCGUCAGGAAGCUUGCUUCGUGGUGGCGCANCUAACGCAUUAAGCAUCCCGCCUGGGGAGUACGGUCGCAAGAUUA